GGAAUGUGUUUGCCAGAACAAUGCGGGAGUUGCAGAGAGAGGUGUCCUGUGUUUGUUCCCAGUCUUCCUUCACUCACCUGCACCUGCUCCUGCCCUGCUUCGGCCAACAUGUUCUAUGCAGGGUGGUUUUGCUGAUGAGACAGCUGCAGUUUGGGGAGUGUGAUAUCAAGGAAAGCAGUGUCUUGAGUCUGUCACUUUCUCUCUCUGUCCCAUUGGGCAUUAUAGUAUACAUAGCCUUGGAAUCAGAAGACCAAGAACAUACAAGAGAACAUAGCCUUGGAAUCAGAAGACCAAGAAACAAUUUAACUCUGCCCCUCUAGAGCUCUGAGAACUUGGGCAAGCCUUUUACCCUCUGUGAGUUUCAGUUUCCUCAUUUAUUUAAUUGAAAUAAUAAUACAGAUCACCUGAAAUGUAAUGAAAAUUAAACAUCCUUAUGUAGGUGAAACCAACUGGCAGCAUGCCUGGAAUAUAGUGAGUGCUCAUUCGGUCUCUUGUAUUUUCUUUCUAUACCCUACUUCUGUUCCCUUGGAUUCAUAUACCUGAAUUGGAAACACCCAAAGUCAAAAAGAAUAAGAAAAAUCUUUAGAAAUGUAGCAUAUUACCAAGAUCUGCAAAUUUCUGCCCAGAGCAGAUGGUUCUAAUAAAGAAAGUCGGAUCUUA
Molecule: long non-coding RNA, 660 nt
Filed under: Homo sapiens (human)
Lineage: Eukaryota; Metazoa; Chordata; Mammalia; Primates; Hominidae
Description: HSALNT0292548
Source: RNAcentral